Molecule: ribosomal RNA, 2425 nt
Filed under: metagenome
Description: bacterial LSU rRNA
Rfam family: Bacterial large subunit ribosomal RNA
Source: RNAcentral
AGUGCAUGCGGCGGAUGCCUUGGCGAUCACAGGCGAAGAAAGACGCGGCAGCCUGCGAAAAGCUGCGGGGAGCUGGCAAACGAGCUUUGAUCCGCAGAUAUCUGAAUGGGGGAACCCACACCGCAAGGUGUAUCCGUAGCUGAAUACAUAGGUUACGGAGGCGAACGAGGAGAACUGAAACAUCUAAGUAUCCUCAGGAAAAGAAAUCAACCGAGAUUCCGGCAGUAGCGGCGAGCGAACCCGGAGGAGCCCAGCUUUUGAUAGUACGAACUUUAGCCGAAAGGUCCUGGAAAGGCCUGCUAUAGUGGGUGAUAGCCCCGUAGGCGAAAGAGUUGGUACGGUACUAAGGAAGCGAGAAGUAGAGCGGGACACGUGGAAUCCUGUUCGAAGACGGGGGGACCAUCCUCCAAGGCUAAAUACUCGUGAUCGACCGAUAGUGAACCAGUACCGUGAGGGAAAGGCGAAAAGAACCCCGGGAGGGGAGUGAAAUAGAACCUGAAACCGCAUGCAUACAAACAGUAGGAGCCUCGUCAGAGGUGACUGCGUACCUUUUGCAUAAUGGGUCAGCGACUUACAUUCUGUGGCGAGCUUAACCGAAUAGGGGAGGCGCAGCGAAAGCGAGUUCGAAAUGAGCGUUCAGUCGCAGGGUGUAGACCCGAAACCAGAUGAGCUAUCCAUGGCCAGGUUGAAGGUGUGGUAACACACACUGGAGGACCGAACCGACUAGUGUUGCAAAAUUAGCGGAUGAGCUGUGGAUAGGGGUGAAAGGCCAAACAAAUCUGGAGAUAGCUGGUUCUCCCCGAAAACUAUUGAGGUAGUGCCUCGUGUGUCGCUCCAGGGGGUAGAGCACUGUUUUGGCUAGGGGGACAUGGAGUCUUACCAAACCAAGGCAAACUCCGAAUACCUGGAAGCGUGAGCACGGGAGACAGAGCACCGGGUGCUAACGUCCGGACUCAAAAGGGAAACAACCCAGACCGCCGGCUAAGGUCCCAAAUAACAGCUAAGUGGAAAACGAAGUGGAAAGGCCGUGACAACCAGGAAGUUGGCUUAGAAGCAGCCAUCCUUCAAAGAAAGCGUAAUAGCUCACUGGUCGAGUCCUUCUGCGCGGAAGAUGUAACGGGGCUAAGCUGUUAACCGAAGCCGCGGAUGCGCUGGUUAUCCAGUGCGUGGUAGGGGAGCGUUCUGUAAGUCUGCGAAGGCGGUUCGAGAGGACUGCUGGAGAUAUCAGAAGUGCGAAUGCUGACAUGAGUAACGUUAAAGCAGGUGAAAAGCCUGCUCGCCGUAAGCCCAAGGAUUCCUGCUCUACGUUCAUCGGAGCAGGGUGAGUCGGCUCCUAAGGUCAGGCCGAAAGGCGUAGCCGAUGGGAAUCAGGUUAAUAUUCCUGAACCUGCGUCAGAUGCGAUGGGGGGACGGAGCAUGGAAGAUCAUCCGGGUGUUGGAAGUCCCGGUUGUUUAGCGUAGGAGGUCUGCAGGCAAAUCCGCAGACGCAUCUCCAAGGCAAAGACACGUGCCGCCACGGCGGCGAAGUGAUCGGAAGUGCUUCCAAGAAAAGCCUCUAAGCUUCAGUCUGAUGCGGACCGUACCGCAAACCGACACUGGUGGGCGAGCUGAAUAUGCUCAGGCGCUUGAGAGAACUCGGGAGAAGGAACUCGGCAAAUUGACACCGUAACUUCGGAAGAAGGUGUGCCGUAGUACCGUGAGAGGAGAGACACCUUGAGCGGGAAACGGUCUCAGAGAAUAGGUGGCUGCGACUGUUUAUUAAAAACACAGCACUCUGCAAAGUCGAAAGACGACGUAUAGGGUGUGAUGCCUGCCCGGUGCUGGAAGAUUAAUUGAUGGGGUGAGAGCCCUUGAUCGAAGUCCCAGUAAACGGCGGCCGUAACUAUAACGGUCCUAAGGUAGCGAAAUUCCUUGUCGGGUAAGUUCCGACCUGCACGAAUGGCAUAACGAUGGCCACACUGUCUCCUCCCGAGACUCAGUGAAGUUGAAAUGUUUGUGAUGAUGCAAUCUACCCGCGGCUAGACGGAAAGACCCCGUGAACCUUUACUGCAGCUUUGCAUUGAACUGUGAACCGAUUUGUGUAGGAUAGGUGGGAGGCAGAGAAGAGGCCACGCCAGUGGCCUUGGAGCCGACCUUGAAAUACCACCCUGAUUUGUUUGCGGUUCUAACCACGGACAGUGAUCCUGUCUUGGGACCGUGCAUGGUAGGCAGUUUGACUGGGGCGGUCUCCUCCUAAAGGGUAACGGAGGAGUACGAAGGUACGCUAGGUACGGUCGGAAAUCGUGCUGAUAGUGCAAUGGCAAAAGCGUGCUUGACUGCGAGAGCAACAACUCGAGCAGAUGCGAAAGCAGGUCAUAGUGAUCCGGUGGCUCUGAAUGGAAGGGCCAUCGCUCAACGGAUAAAAGGUACUCCGGGGAUAACAGGC